Molecule: ribosomal RNA, 503 nt
Filed under: uncultured bacterium
Lineage: Bacteria
Description: bacterial SSU rRNA
Rfam family: Bacterial small subunit ribosomal RNA
Source: RNAcentral
GAUGAACGCUAGCGGCAGGCUUAAUACAUGCAAGUCGUGGGGCAGCAGGUUUGUAGCAAUACAGAUGCUGGCGACCGGCAAACGGGUGCGGAACACGUACAGAACCUUCCUUUGAGCGGGGAAUAGCCCAGAGAAAUUUGGAUUAAUACCCCAUAGUAUAAUGAAGUGGCAUCACUUUAUUAUUAAAGAUUUAUCACUCGAAGAUGGCUGUGCGGCUGAUUAGGUAGUUGGCGGGGUAAAGGCCCACCAAGCCUGCGAUCAGUAACUGGUGUGAGAGCACGACCAGUCACACGGGCACUGAGACACGGGCCCGACUCCUACGGGAGGCAGCAGUAAGGAAUAUUGGUCAAUGGAGGCAACUCUGAACCAGCCAUGCCGCGUGGAGGAUGAAGGUCCUCUGGAUUGUAAACUCUUUUAUAUGGGACGAAAAAAGGCUUUUCUAAGUCGUCUGACGGUACCAUAUGAAUAAGCACCGGCUAACUCCGUGCCAGCAGCCGCGGUAA